UAAAACCUAAUUUGUCGCGCGUUCGAAGGGAAGCUUCUCCCCUUUUGCAUUCGUCGUUCUUCGUUCUCCCCUUUCACCGUUCUCAAGCUUUCACGAUUCUCAAGCUUCCACCGUUCAUCGUUCUCCCUUCGUUCAUUCACCGUUCAGUUCAUCGUUCACCGUUCACCGUUCACCAUUCGAAACUCGUACAGAAGCGUGAGCCAUCGGUGAUAAUGCCUCUGCCAAAGACUUAGGAAUAGACACAGAGGAGAGAGACCCUUUCUUUCUAUGGGUUUUCCAAUGGUCAUUUCUUAUGCUUAUAUUUAUGUGUUUUUGCUUUUAGAAAGUAGGGGGUGUUUGACUGUGUUUUCUACUUUUUCGUUCAGGAAAUCACUACAUUUGUAACUAAUUUGAAUAGCUUGCAUCCUAUUUUGACUGAAUGUCGUGUCUUGAAAUCAGAACUGGAGCUUGCUCUUAUUCAAUUUGCCGAUGAUAUUAGCUCAUAAGCUCAUGUUCAGGAAACAAUUAGCUCGAAGGCCUUUACUGAAAGGUUGUCCUCAAGGCUCACUGAUGUUGUUAUAUCAGUUAUGAAACCUGGAAUAAACUGGGUUGAAAUGUACAAGUAGGCUUUAUUUAGAUCCCGUCUUUACUUUCUUUUGUGCAUAUAAGAUAGUUUGAGGAGUAAAUUGUGCGACUCAUUUCUCUGGAAUAAACGACUCAUUUCUUUAUUUAGAUCUCGUAUUAUGUCUUGAUCUUGACUUUAUUAGGUUGUCUAAUUACAAGCUCAGGACAUUGAACCAUUUUCUUCUUUGACCACAGUACUGAAGGUGCGUUGUUCUGUCUUCUACUCUUGUCUAACUUCUCUUUUUGGGGCAGAUCAUUAGCAAAAUAUUUGAUGCUUUAAGUUGCGUGCAUAAUAUAGGUUUUUCUGUUUGUUUUGGUGUGUUCUAGGAUUUAAUUUUUUGAGUAAAUGUUGUAACUAUGUUCAGUGCUUGCUCUGUUAUAACAUGUCUUUUAUAUGCAUAAUUUUUUUAGCUGGAAUUUCUCUAUCAAAUAUAGUUGCACCACCCAUUGUCUCUGGUCACCAACCAUGUUGCCAUGGACAUUUGGGUUACCCAGCGAUUCUUGGUAAAUAGCUACCUUCAUUGAUGUUUUUUUUAUAUCACGUUCAUGGAUUUGGAUGAUUUUGUUAUGUAUGAAUUCUGGCAAAUGAUGACAAAUUUGGAAUCUACAAAUCAAUAUCGUGGUUCCUCCUAGGAUUUUGUGUAGAAUUUUUGCUCAAAUAUUGUUGUUUAAUUGAUGAUGAAUUGCUUGCUUUGUCUAGGGAUUGAAUUUUAUGGUGUUUCAUGUGGUCUUUGAUAAUGA
This is a long non-coding RNA of Cucumis sativus (cucumber), 1344 nucleotides long. RefSeq lists it as uncharacterized. The record is from RefSeq and is a predicted model, not a curated record. Lineage: Eukaryota; Viridiplantae; Streptophyta; Magnoliopsida; Cucurbitales; Cucurbitaceae. The transcript is spliced from 2 exons.